AAUCAGUGCUGAAAAUCGUCUCUCAUCCGCCAAAACAUCUUCGGCGUUGUAAGGUUAAGCCUCACGGUUCAUUAGUACCGGUUAGCUCAACGCAUCGCUGCGCUUACACACCCGGCCUAUCAACGUCGUCGUCUUCAACGUUCCUUCAGGAGACCUAAAGUCUCAGGGAGAACUCAUCUCGGGGCAAGUUUCGUGCUUAGAUGCUUUCAGCACUUAUCUCUUCCGCAUUUAGCUACCGGGCAGUGCCAUUGGCAUGACAACCCGAACACCAGUGAUGCGUCCACUCCGGUCCUCUCGUACUAGGAGCAGCCCCCCUCAGUUCUCCAGCGCCCACGGCAGAUAGGGACCGAACUGUCUCACGACGUUCUAAACCCAGCUCGCGUACCACUUUAAAUNNNNNNNNNNNNNNNNNNNNAGCCCCAGGAUGUGAUGAGCCGACAUCGAGGUGCCAAACACCGCCGUCGAUAUGAACUCUUGGGCGGUAUCAGCCUGUUAUCCCCGGAGUACCUUUUAUCCGUUGAGCGAUGGCCCUUCCAUUCAGAACCACCGGAUCACUAUGACCUGCUUUCGCACCUGCUCGCGCCGUCACGCUCGCAGUCAAGCUGGCUUAUGCCAUUGCACUAACCUCCUGAUGUCCGACCAGGAUUAGCCAACCUUCGUGCUCCUCCGUUACUCUUUAGGAGGAGACCGCCCCAGUCAAACUACCCACCAGACACUGUCCGCAACCCGGGUAACGGGUCCACGUUAGAACAUCAAACAUUAAAGGGUGGUAUUUCAAGGUCGGCUCCAUGCAGACUGGCGUCCACACUUCAAAGCCUCCCACCUAUCCUACACAUCAAGGCUCAAUGUUCAGUGUCAAGCUAUAGUAAAGGUUCACGGGGUCUUUCCGUCUUGCCGCGGGUACACUGCAUCUUCACAGCGAGUUCAAUUUCACUGAGUCUCGGGUGGAGACAGCCUGGCCAUCAUUACGCCAUUCGUGCAGGUCGGAACUUACCCGACAAGGAAUUUCGCUACCUUAGGACCGUUAUAGUUACGGCCGCCGUUUACCGGGGCUUCGAUCAGGAGCUUCGCUUGCGCUGACCCCAUCAAUUAACCUUCCGGCACCGGGCAGGCGUCACACCGUAUACGUCCACUUUCGUGUUUGCACAGUGCUGUGUUUUUAAUAAACAGUUGCAGCCAGCUGGUAUCUUCGACUGACUUCAGCUCCAUGAGUAAAUCACUUCACCUACGUGUCAGCGUGCCUUCUCCCGAAGUUACGGCACCAUUUUGCCUAGUUCCUUCACCCGAGUUCUCUCAAGCGCCUUGGUAUUCUCUACCUGACCACCUGUGUCGGUUUGGGGUACGAUUUGAUGUUACCUGAUGCUUAGAGGCUUUUCCUGGAAGCAGGGCAUUUGUUGCUUCAGCACCGUAGUGCCUCGUCGUCACGCCUCAGUGUUAAAGUGAACCGGAUUUACCUGGAACACACACCUACACGCUUAAACCGGGACAACCGUCGCCCGGCCAACAUAGCCUUCUCCGUCCCCCCUUCGCAGUAACACCAAGUACGGGAAUAUUAACCCGUUUCCCAUCGACUACGCCUUUCGGCCUCGCCUUAGGGGUCGACUCACCCUGCCCCGAUUAACGUUGGACAGGAACCCUUGGUCUUCCGGCGAGCGGGCUUUUCACCCGCUUUAUCGUUACUUAUGUCAGCAUUCGCACUUCUGAUACCUCCAGCAACCCUCACAGGCCACCUUCACAGGCUUACAGAACGCUCCCCUACCCAACAACACCUGAGUGUCGCUGCCGCAGCUUCGGUGCAUGGUUUAGCCCCGUUACAUCUUCCGCGCAGGCCGACUCGACCAGUGAGCUAUUACGCUUUCUUUAAAUGAUGGCUGCUUCUAAGCCAACAUCCUGGCUGUCUGGGCCUUCCCACAUCGUUUCCCACUUAACCAUGACUUUGGGACCUUAGCUGGCGGUCUGGGUUGUUUCCCUCUUCACGACGGACGUUAGCACCCGCCGUGUGUCUCCCGUGAUAACAUUCUCCGGUAUUCGCAGUUUGCAUCGGGUUGGUAAGCCGGGAUGGCCCCCUAGCCGAAACAGUGCUCUACCCCCGGAGAUGAAUUCACGAGGCGCUACCUAAAUAGCUUUCGGGGAGAACCAGCUAUCUCCCGGUUUGAUUGGCCUUUCACCCCCAGCCACAGGUCAUCCGCUAAUUUUUCAACAUUAGUCGGUUCGGUCCUCCAGUUAGUGUUACCCAACCUUCAACCUGCCCAUGGCUAGAUCACCGGGUUUCGGGUCUAUACCCUGCAACUUAACGCCCGGUUAAGACUCGGUUUCCCUCCGGCUCCCCUAUACGGUUAACCUUGCUACAGAAUAUAAGUCGCUGACCCAUUAUACAAAAGGUACGCAGUCACACAGGUAAACCUGUGCUCCCACUGCUUGUACGUACACGGUUUCAGGUUCUUUUUCACUCCCCUCGCCGGGGUUCUUUUCGCCUUUCCCUCACGGUACUGGUUCACUAUCGGUCAGUCAGGAGUAUUUAGCCUUGGAGGAUGGUCCCCCCAUAUUCAGACAGGAUACCACGUGUCCCGCCCUACUCAUCGAGCUCACAGCACAUGCGCUUUUGUGUACGGGGCUGUCACCCUGUAUCGCGCGCCUUUCCAGACNNNNNNNNNNNNNNNNNNNNCCCCGUUCGCUCGCCGCUACUGGGGGAAUCUCGGUUGAUUUCUUUUCCUCGGGGUACUUAGAUGUUUCAGUUCCCCCGGUUCGCCUCAUUAACCUAUGGAUUCAGUUAAUGAUAGUGUGACGAAUCACACUGGGUUUCCCCAUUCGGAAAUCGCCGGUUAUAACGGUUCAUAUCACCUUACCGGCGCUUAUCGCAGAUUAGCACGUCCUUCAUCGCCUCUGACUGCCAGGGCAUCCACCGUGUACGCUUAGUCGCUUAACCUCACAACCCGAAGAUGUUUCUUACGAUUCAUCAUCGUGUUGCGAAAAUUUGAGAGACUCACGAACAACUUUCGUUGUUCUGUGUUUCAAUUUUCAGCUUGAUCCAGAUUUUUAAAGAGCAAA
RNAcentral lists this ribosomal RNA (3048 nucleotides) under Salmonella enterica subsp. enterica serovar Paratyphi A. Its description in RNAcentral is "23S ribosomal RNA". Lineage: Bacteria; Pseudomonadati; Pseudomonadota; Gammaproteobacteria; Enterobacterales; Enterobacteriaceae. The record is from RNAcentral.